RNAcentral lists this ribosomal RNA (295 nucleotides) under Brachyspira pilosicoli. Its description in RNAcentral is "partial 16S ribosomal RNA". It matches the Rfam family "Bacterial small subunit ribosomal RNA", at positions 30 to 325 of the family's 1533-position model. The record is from RNAcentral. Lineage: Bacteria; Pseudomonadati; Spirochaetota; Spirochaetia; Brachyspirales; Brachyspiraceae.
CGAACGUUGGCGAUGCGUCUUAAGCAUGCAAGUCGAGCGGGCUUAUUCGGGCAACUGGAUAAGUUAGCGGCGAACUGGUGAGUAACACGUAGGUAAUCUGCCGUGAAGUGGGGGAUAACCCAUGGAAACAUGGACUAAUACCGCAUAUACUCUUGCUACAUAAGUAGAGUAGAGGAAAGUUUUUUCGCUUCACGAUGAGCCUGCGGCCUAUUAGCCUGUUGGUAGGGUAAUGGCCUACCAAAGCUACGAUAGGUAGCCGACCUGAGAGGGUGACCGGCCACAUUGGGACUGAGAU